AUAGUAAUAAUCUUCGUUACAGAGACAUGCUUGUUGAUCUUUUGGGUUCCUUUGAAGGAUUGAAUUUCAAUGAAAAUUCUUCAUCUUCUUGUUCUUCCCCUGUUUCAAAGAUACAGAACAACAACAUGGGUUGGCUUGAUCUUCCUCUUAACUCUGAAGAACAACAAUAUCAACAAUUUAUUGUUUCACCUUCUUCUUCUUCUUCUUUUGAUCAGCAACAACAAAAUUUUGAUAUUCAUCAGAAUUUGAUGACACCAAGCUUCAAUGAUAUUGGUGACAAUAACAUAAU
RNAcentral lists this long non-coding RNA (289 nucleotides) under Cicer arietinum (chickpea). RNAcentral describes it as "long non-coding RNA (CARI_LNC000100)". The record is from RNAcentral. Lineage: Eukaryota; Viridiplantae; Streptophyta; Magnoliopsida; Fabales; Fabaceae.